GAUUAGAACGCUGGCGGCAUGCCUUACACAUGCAAGUCGAACGGCAGCACGGGGGGCAACCCUGGUGGCGAGUGGCGAACGGGUGAGUAAUACAUCGGAACGUGCCCCCGUAGCGGGGGACAACCAGUCGAAAAGACUGGCUAAUACCGCAUACGCUCCACGGAGGAAAGCAGGGGAUCGCAAGACCUUGACACUAUGGGAGCGGCCGAUGCCCGAUUAGCUAGUUGGUGAGGUAAAGGCUCACCAAGACAACGAUCGGUAGCUGGUCUGAGAGGACGACCAGCCACACUGGGACUGAGACACGGCCCAGACUCCGUACGGGA
This 323-nucleotide ribosomal RNA is filed under the name uncultured bacterium. RNAcentral's name for it is "bacterial SSU rRNA". It matches the Rfam family "Bacterial small subunit ribosomal RNA", at positions 31 to 346 of the family's 1533-position model. The record is from RNAcentral.